Molecule: ribosomal RNA, 242 nt
Filed under: uncultured bacterium
Lineage: Bacteria
Description: partial 16S ribosomal RNA
Rfam family: Bacterial small subunit ribosomal RNA
Source: RNAcentral
GGAGGAUGCGAGCGUUAUCCGGAUUUAUUGGGUUUAAAGGGAGCGUAGGCCGGAGAUUAAGCGUGUUGUGAAAUGUAGACGCUCAACGUCUGAAUUGCAGCGCGAACUGGUUUCCUUGAGUACGUAGGAAGUUGGCGGAAUUCGUGGUGUAGCGGUGAAAUGCUUAGAUAUCACGAAGAACUCCGAUUGCGAAGGCAGCUGACUGUAUCGUAACUGACGCUGAAGCUCGAAAGUGUGGGUAU